AUUGAACGCUGGCGGCAGGCCUAACACAUGCAAGUCGAACGGUAACAGGAAGAAGCUUGCUUCUUUGCUGACGAGUGGCGGACGGGUGAGUAAUGUCUGGGAAACUGCCUGAUGGAGGGGGAUAACUACUGGAAACGGUAGCUAAUACCGCAUAACGUCGCAAGACCAAAGAGGGGGACCUUCGGGCCUCUUGCCAUCGGAUGUGCCCAGAUGGGAAUAGCUAGUAGGUGGGGUAACGGCUCACCUAGGCGACGAUCCCUAGCUGGUCUGAGAGGAUGACCAGCCACACUGGAACUGAGACACGGUCCAGACUCCUACGGGAGGCAGCAGUGGGGAAUAUUGCACAAUGGGCGCAAGCCUGAUGCAGCCAUGCCGCGUGUAUGAAGAAGGCCUUCGGGUUGUAAAGUACUUUCAGCGGGGAGGAAGGGAGUAAAGUUAAUACCUUUGCUCAUUGACGUUACCCGCAGAAGAAGCACCGGCUAACUCCGUG
RNAcentral lists this ribosomal RNA (490 nucleotides) under uncultured bacterium. RNAcentral describes it as "partial 16S ribosomal RNA". It matches the Rfam family "Bacterial small subunit ribosomal RNA", at positions 30 to 507 of the family's 1533-position model. The record is from RNAcentral.